UGUCCUCCGGCAGGUGCAGAACUCCAGUCUGGAUGGGUCCGGGGUGUGCCUAGCUGGGUCUCCACUGUGCAUUCUGUGUCCCUACCUGCACCGGACGACGGGGGACACAGAACGCAAGUACCACCUGCGUUACUACAAAACAGGAACCUGCAUCCACGAGACAGACGCACGUGGCCACUGCGU
Molecule: small RNA, 183 nt
Filed under: Pan troglodytes (chimpanzee)
Lineage: Eukaryota; Metazoa; Chordata; Mammalia; Primates; Hominidae
Description: processed transcript
Source: RNAcentral